Chroicocephalus ridibundus (black-headed gull) is the source of this 745-nucleotide long non-coding RNA. RefSeq lists it as uncharacterized. The record is from RefSeq and is a predicted model, not a curated record. The transcript is spliced from 3 exons. NCBI's taxonomy places the organism in Eukaryota, Metazoa, Chordata, Aves, Charadriiformes, Laridae.
GAAGGGGGUUCGCCGUCCGUCCGGCGCGCGGGGAGAGGUCCUGGGGCGGGGCCUUGGCGCCGCAACCGGCACCCGCCGCCGGUGGCGCAGGCCCCGGUGUUAGAGUGCUUUAAGUAACUUACUGCCGUUUACCUGAAGUGCUCGGCAGUGCCGUUGCCCUUACGGGCUGCCGUCGGGCUCAGGGGAAGCGGGAACAGAAAAUCCCUCUUUAAUACUGUAAUUAACAAAUUAGCAAAGACUCACGGACUCACGGAAUCACAGAAUAGUAGGGGUUGGAAGGGACCUCUGGAGAUCAUCUAGUCCAACCCCCCUGCCAGAGCAGGGUCACCCAGAGCAGGUGGCACAGGAACGCGUCCAGAAUUCUGUAUUGUAAGAAGCAAUGAGUAAUGGAUCAGCGGAGAUUACUUCAGGUGUCUGUGAAGUUACAAGACUCCUAAAUUUGGAUGACCACAAAUCCAAUACAACUCUUGACAUGCAGAGACAACUUUUCCCCACUGCUGGAGCAGAUUUAGUCCUGAAGAACUGCAGCCUGUGGAGAGGACCCAUGCUGGAGCAGGGGAAGAGUAUGAGGAGGAAGGAGGGGGAGAGGGGAGCUGUUACAGAUUGACUGCAGCUCCCUGCUCCCCCUUCCCCCGCCACUGUUCUCCAUCCCUCUGUGCCAUUUGGUAAAGGAGUUGCUAAUGAAGUUGAGCCUGGGGAAUAAAGGGGAGUAAGAGGAAGGUGUUGGUUUUGGUUUUGUGUUUAU